RNAcentral lists this ribosomal RNA (251 nucleotides) under uncultured bacterium. Its description in RNAcentral is "partial 16S ribosomal RNA". It matches the Rfam family "Bacterial small subunit ribosomal RNA", at positions 334 to 578 of the family's 1533-position model. The record is from RNAcentral.
UAGUGCCACGGGAGCAGCAGUAGGGAAUCUUCCACAAUGGACGAAAGUCUGAUGGAGCAACGCCGCGUGAGUGAAGAAGGGUUUCGGCUCGUAAAGCUCUGUUGGUAGGGAAGAAAGAUAGAGGUAGUAACUGGCCCUUAUUUGACGGUAAUUACUUAGAAAGUCACGGCUAACUACGUGCCAGCAGCCGCGGUAAUACGUAGGUGGCAAGCGUUGUCCGGAUUUAUUGGGCGUAAAGCGAGUGCAGGCGG